GAUGAACGAUGGCGGCGUGCCUAAUACAUGCAAGUCGAGCGAACGGACGAGAAGCUUGCUUCUCUGAUGUUAGCGGCGGACGGGUGAGUAACACGUGGAUAACCUACCUAUAAGACUGGGAUAACUUCGGGAAACCGGAGCUAAUACCGGAUAAUAUUUUGAACCGCAUGGUUCAAAAGUGAAAGACGGUCUUGCUGUCACUUAUAGAUGGAUCCGCGCUGCAUUAGCUAGUUGGUAAGGUACGGCUUACCAAGGCAACGAUGCAUAGCCGACCUGAGAGGGUGAUCGGCCACACUGGAACUGAGACACGGUCCAGACUCCUACGGGAGGCAGCAGUAGGGAAUCUUCCGCAAUGGGCGAAAGCCUGACGGAGCAACGCCGCGUGAGUGAUGAAGGUCUUCGGAUCGUAAAACUCUGUUAUUAGGGAAGAACAUAUGUGUAAGUAACUGUGCACAUCUUGACGGUACCUAAUCAGAAAGCCACGGCUAACUACGUG
This 496-nucleotide ribosomal RNA is filed under the name uncultured bacterium. RNAcentral describes it as "partial 16S ribosomal RNA". It matches the Rfam family "Bacterial small subunit ribosomal RNA", at positions 28 to 507 of the family's 1533-position model. The record is from RNAcentral.